RNAcentral lists this ribosomal RNA (404 nucleotides) under Actinomycetes bacterium. RNAcentral's name for it is "Actinobacteria bacterium partial 16S ribosomal RNA". It matches the Rfam family "Bacterial small subunit ribosomal RNA", at positions 355 to 776 of the family's 1533-position model. The record is from RNAcentral. Lineage: Bacteria; Bacillati; Actinomycetota; Actinomycetes.
UGGGGAAUAUUGGACAAUGGGCGCAAGCCUGAUCCAGCCAUGCCGCGUGAGUGAUGAAGGCCCUAGGGUUGUAAAGCUCUUUCACCGGUGAAGAUAAUGACGGUAACCGGAGAAGAAGCCCCGGCUAACUUCGUGCCAGCAGCCGCGGUAAUACGAAGGGGGCUAGCGUUGUUCGGAUUUACUGGGCGUAAAGCGCACGUAGGCGGACUUUUAAGUCAGGGGUGAAAUCCCGGGGCUGAACCCCGGAACUGCCUUUGAUACUGGAAGUCUUGAGUAUGGUAGAGGUGAGUGGAAUUCCGAGUGUAGAGGUGAAAUUCGUAGAUAUUCGGAGGAACACCAGUGGCGAAGGCGGCUCACUGGACCAUUACUGACGCUGAGGUGCGAAAGCGUGGGGAGCAAACAGG